UGUACACGCUGUGACUAGCAUAUCAAUAAGCGGAGGAAAAGAAACUAACAAGGAUUCCCUUAGUAACGGCGAGUGAAGCGGGAAGAGCUCAAAUUUGAAAUCUUCAAGGCUCUACCUUGACGAAUUGUAGUUUAAAGAAGUGUUUUCUGUUAGCGGAGUGGCAAAAGUUCUUUGGAAUAGGACAUCAUAGAGGGUGAGAAUCCCGUAUUUGGUCAUUCCUUCUAGCUUUGUGAUACACUUUCAAAGAGUCGGAUUGUUUGGGAAUGCAGUCCAAAAUGGGUGGUAAAUUUCAUCUAAAGCUAAAUACUGGCGAGAGACCGAUAGCGAACAAGUACCGUGAGGGAAAGAUGAAAAGAACUUUGAAAAGAGAGUUAAACAGUGCGUGAAAUUGUCAAAAGGGAAGCGUUUGACACCAGUGUUGUUGUGGAGAAAUCAAUUGUGUGGAACGGGUUGUUGUGGGGUUGAGACCUUAUCAGCUCUCCUUACUCUUUACCUUUUUCACGCAAUGCACUUUCUCUUUAACAAGUCAACAUCAAUUUCUUUUGUUGUAAAAGGGCCGGCGGAAGGUGGCUUUCUUUUCGGAGAAAGUGUUUAUAGCCGUUGGUCUCUACAAUCGGAGAGAUUGAGGUCUGCAGCGUAGAUCCUUUGGGGUUAGAUACGUUGGUGCUAAGUUAUAAUCCUACAUAGACAACUUGUUGACUAUGUUCGAUCAUGUAGCUUACUCGCUAGCGCUAUUUUACCUACGCUUAGGAUGUUGAUCUACAGAGCGAGAGU
RNAcentral lists this ribosomal RNA (774 nucleotides) under uncultured Neocallimastigales. RNAcentral's name for it is "partial large subunit ribosomal RNA". It matches the Rfam family "Eukaryotic large subunit ribosomal RNA", at positions 22 to 628 of the family's 3401-position model. The record is from RNAcentral. Lineage: Eukaryota; Fungi; Neocallimastigomycota; Neocallimastigomycetes; Neocallimastigales.